UACGGGGGGGGCAAGCGUUGUUCGGAAUUACUGGGCGUAAAGGGCUCGUAGGCGGCCAACUAAGUCAGACGUGAAAUCCCUCGGCUUAACCGGGGAACUGCGUCUGAUACUGGAUGGCUUGAAUCCGGGAGAGGGAUGCGGAAUUCCAGGUGUAGCGGUGAAAUGCGUAGAUAUCUGGAGGAACACCGGUGGCGAAGGCGGCAUCCUGGACCAUUACUGACACUGAAUAGCGAAAGCCAGGGGAGCAAACGGG
This 253-nucleotide ribosomal RNA is filed under the name uncultured bacterium. Its description in RNAcentral is "partial 16S ribosomal RNA". It matches the Rfam family "Bacterial small subunit ribosomal RNA", at positions 524 to 776 of the family's 1533-position model. The record is from RNAcentral.